RNAcentral lists this transfer RNA (72 nucleotides) under Lovenula raynerae. RNAcentral describes it as "tRNA-Arg". The record is from RNAcentral. Lineage: Eukaryota; Metazoa; Arthropoda; Copepoda; Calanoida; Diaptomidae.
AGUUCUAAUCAAUAUCCUAAAAUUAUAUAUGUUUUGUUUCGGCCAAAAUUAAGGAGUAAGUCCUUAGGAUUU